GCGGUGCUAGUCGUGGAGGAAACACCCCUCAAGGCCGCGGGGUUUGGUUGCACACAGGCUGCAGUUUCAGUUUGUUUUAUUCACCAUUUUGAGUAGCUCAAGGUAAAAAAAAUUAAGAAUAUUUGCGUGAGGAGGAAAGGUCGCUGCCCUGCUUUGGUUUUUACGCGCUCGCUCGGACGGUGGAGUUGUGCGUCAGCCGAGCUCCCCCCUUUGCAGAGCGGGAAUCUAUAUUUCUUUUUUUCCCCGUGCUUUUCUUCUCCCCCCCUUUUUCUUACAUCCGUAACCUCUACAGUAUUCCUGCAAAAUGUCAAGACCAGUGAGGAACAGGAAGGUGGUGAACUACUCACAAUUCAACGAGUCAGACGAUGCAGAUGAGGAGUACGGUGACAGUAAGCCGAAGAAGGUGCGCCCAGCCCCUCGUGAGCCCAAGCACAAGCGCUCAAAGAACUCACAGGAUGACAGGUGAGC
Molecule: long non-coding RNA, 468 nt
Organism: Notolabrus celidotus (New Zealand spotty)
Lineage: Eukaryota; Metazoa; Chordata; Actinopteri; Labriformes; Labridae
Exons: 3
Source: RefSeq, a predicted model, not a curated record